RNAcentral lists this ribosomal RNA (481 nucleotides) under uncultured bacterium. RNAcentral describes it as "bacterial SSU rRNA". It matches the Rfam family "Bacterial small subunit ribosomal RNA", at positions 18 to 518 of the family's 1533-position model. The record is from RNAcentral.
CCUGGCUUAGAACGAACGCUGGCGGCAUGCCUAAUACAUGCAAGUCGAACGGAGAUAGCAAUAUCUUAGUGGCGAACGGGUGCGUAACACGUGAGCAACCUGCCUUAUACAUCGGAAUAACAGCUGGAAACGGCUGCUAAUACCGGAUAAGACCACACCAAGGCAUCUUGGAGAGGUCAAAGCGAAUUAGCGGUAUAAGAUGGGCUCGCGUCCAAUUAGCUAGUUGGUGGGGUAACGGCCACCAAGGCAACGAUUGGUAGCCGACUUGAGAGAGUGAUCGGCCACACUGGAACUGAGACACGGUCCAGACUCCUACGGGAGGCAGCAGUAGGGAAUAUUGGGCAAUGGAGGAAACUUACCUUACCCAGCAAUGCCGCGUGAAUGAUGAAGGUCUUAUGGAUUGUAAAGUUCUUUAAUUGGGGACGAAAGAAAUGACGGUACCCAAAGAAUAAGCCCCGGCUAACUAUGUGCCAGCAGCCGC